This 676-nucleotide ribosomal RNA is filed under the name Inocybe umbrina. RNAcentral's name for it is "eukaryotic LSU rRNA". It matches the Rfam family "Eukaryotic large subunit ribosomal RNA", at positions 1 to 653 of the family's 3401-position model. The record is from RNAcentral. Lineage: Eukaryota; Fungi; Basidiomycota; Agaricomycetes; Agaricales; Inocybaceae.
UUGACCUCAAAUCAGGUAGGACUACCCGCUGAACUUAAGCAUAUCAAUAAGCGGAGGAAAAGAAACUAACAAGGAUUCCCCUAGUAACUGCGAGUGAAGCGGGAAGAGCUCAAAUUUAAAAUCUGGUGGUUCUUGACCAUCCGAGUUGUAAUCUAGAGAAGUGUUUACCUGUGCUGGACCGUGUAAAAGUCUUCUGGAAUGGAGCAUCACAGAGGGUGAGAAUCCCGUCUUUGACAUGGACUACCAGUGCGUCGUGGUGCGCUCUCGAAGAGUCGAGUUGUUUGGGAAUGCAGCUCAAAAUGGGUGGUAAAUGCCAUCUAAAGCUAAAUAUUGGCGAGAGACCGAUAGCGAACAAGUACCGUGAGGGAAAGAUGAAAAGAACUUUGGAAAGAGAGUUAAACAGUACGUGAAAUUGCUGAAAGGGAAACGCUUGAAGUCAGWCGCGUUGGCUAGAAAUCAGCCUUGCUUUUGCUUGGUGUACUUUCUUGUUGACGGGUCAGCAUCGGUUUUGAACACUGGAUAAAGUCUUUGGGAAUGUGGCAUCUUUUUUUUGAUGUGUUAUAGCCCAUUGUCGCAUACAGUGGUUGGGACCGAGGAACUCAGCACGCCGCAAGGCCGGGUCUCUGGACCACGCUCGUGCUUAGGAUGCUGGCAUAAUGGCUUUAAUCGACCCGUC